GGGCUCGCAGGCGGUUUCUUAAGUCUGAUGUGAAAGCCCCCGGCUCAACCGGGGAGGGUCAUUGGAAACUGGGGAACUUGAGUGCAGAAGAGGAGAGUGGAAUUCCACGUGUAGCGGUGAAAUGCGUAGAGAUGUGGAGGAACACCAGUGGCGAAGGCGACUCUCUGGUCUGUAACUGACGCUGAGGAGCGAAAGCGUGGGGAGCGAACAGGAUUAGAUACCCUGGUAGUCCACGCCGUAAACGAUGAGUGCUAAGUGUUAGGGGGUUUCCGCCCCUUAGUGCUGCAGCUAACGCAUUAAGCACUCCGCCUGGGGAGUACGGUCGCAAGACUGAAACUCAAAGGAAUUGACGGGGGCCCGCACAAGCGGUGGAGCAUGUGGUUUAAUUCGAAGCAACGCGAAGAACCUUACCAGGUCUUGACAUCCUCUGACAAUCCUAGAGAUAGGACGUCCCCUUCGGGGGCAGAGUGACAGGUGGUGCAUGGUUGUCGUCAGCUCGUGUCGUGAGAUGUUGGGUUAAGUCCCGCAACGAGCGCAACCCUUGAUCUUAGUUGCCAGCAUUCAGUUGGGCACUCUAAGGUGACUGCCGGUGACAAACCGGAGGAAGGUGGGGAUGACGUCAAAUCAUCAUGCCCCUUAUGACCUGGGCUACACACGUGCUACAAUGGACAGAACAAAGGGCAGCGAAACCGCGAGGUUAAGCCAAUCCCACAAAUCUGUUCUCAGUUCGGAUCGCAGUCUGCAACUCGACUGCGUGAAGCUGGAAUCGCUAGUAAUCGCGGAUC
This 785-nucleotide ribosomal RNA is filed under the name Bacillus subtilis. Its description in RNAcentral is "bacterial SSU rRNA". It matches the Rfam family "Bacterial small subunit ribosomal RNA", at positions 565 to 1350 of the family's 1533-position model. Lineage: Bacteria; Bacillati; Bacillota; Bacilli; Caryophanales; Bacillaceae. The record is from RNAcentral.